CCGAGUUUACAACUCCCAAAACCCCUGUGAAACAUACCACUUGUUGCCUCGGCGGAUCAGCCCGCUCCCGGUAAAACGGGACGGCCCGCCAGAGGACCCCCUAAAACUCUGUUUCUAUAUGUAACUUCUGAGUAAAACCAUAAAUAAAUCA
This 151-nucleotide unclassified non-coding RNA is filed under the name soil metagenome. RNAcentral describes it as "partial internal transcribed spacer 1". The record is from RNAcentral.